This 497-nucleotide ribosomal RNA is filed under the name uncultured bacterium. RNAcentral describes it as "partial 16S ribosomal RNA". It matches the Rfam family "Bacterial small subunit ribosomal RNA", at positions 28 to 507 of the family's 1533-position model. The record is from RNAcentral.
GAUGAACGCUGGCGGCGUGCCUAAUACAUGCAAGUCGAGCGAACGGACGAGAAGUUUGCUUCUCCGAUGUUAGCGGCGGACGGGUGAGUAACACGUGGAUAACCUACCUAUAAGACUGGGAUAACUUCGGGAAACCGUAGCUAAUACCGGAUAAUAUUUUGAACCGCAUGGUUCAAAAGUGAAAGACGGUCUUGCUGUCACUUAUAGAUGGAUCCGCGCUGCAUUAGCUAGUUGGUAAGGUAACGGCUUACCAAGGCAGCGAUGCAUAGCCGACCUGAGAGGGUGAUCGGCCACACUGGAACUGAGACACGGUCCAGACUCCUACGGGAGGCAGCAGUAGGGAAUCUUCCGCAAUGGGCGAGAGCCUGACGGAGCAACGCCGCGUGAGUGAUGAAGGUCUUCGGAUCGUAAAACUCUGUUAUUAGGGAAGAACAUAUGUGUAAGUAACUGUGCACAUCUUGACGGUACCUAAUCAGAAAGCCACGGCUAACUACGUG